CAAUAGCGUAUAUUAAAGUUGUUGCAGUUAAAAAGCUCGUAGUUGGACCUCGGACCAGGACAGGCGGUCCGCCUCACGGCGAGUACUGUCUUGCUGGGUCUUUCCUCUUGGUGAUCUGUUGUUUCGGCAGCAGGGAACCAGGACCUUUACUUUGAAAAAAUUAGAGUGUUCAAAGCAGGCUCGACGCCGGAAUAUAUUAGCAUGGAAUAAUAAAAUAGGACGUGCGGUUCUAUUUUGUUGGUUUUUGGAAUCGCCGUAAUGAUUAAUAGGGACAGUCGGGGGCAUUAGUACUCACAUGCUAGAGGUGAAAUUCUUGGAUUUUGUGAAGACUAACUUCUGCGAAAGCAUUUGACAAGGAUGUUUUCAUUAA
This 370-nucleotide ribosomal RNA is filed under the name uncultured eukaryote. RNAcentral describes it as "partial 18S ribosomal RNA". It matches the Rfam family "Eukaryotic small subunit ribosomal RNA", at positions 592 to 976 of the family's 1831-position model. The record is from RNAcentral.